AGUGAACGCUGGCGGUAGGCCUAACACAUGCAAGUCGAACGGCAGCACAGGAGUGCUUGCUCUCUAGGUGGCGAGUGGCGGACGGGUGAGGAAUACAUCGGAAUCUGCCCAGUCGUGGGGGAUAACGUAGGGAAACUUACGCUAAUACCGCAUACUACCUUCGGGUGAAAGAGGGGGAUCGCAAUACCUCUCGCGAUUGGAUUAGCCGAUGUCGGAUUUGCUAGUUAGCGGGGUAAUGGCCCACCAAGGCCACGAUCCGUACCUGGUCUGAGAGGAUGAUCAGCCACACUGGAACUGAGACACGGUCCAGACUCCUACGGGAGGCAGCAGUGGGGAAUAUUGGACAAUGGGCGCAAGCCUGAUCCAGCCAUACCGCGUGGGUGAAGAAGGCCUUCGGGUUGUAAAGCCCUUUUGUUGGGAAAGAAAUCUUUCAGGCUAAUACCCUGGGAGGAUGACGGUACCCAAAGAAUAAGCACCGGCUAACUUCGUG
RNAcentral lists this ribosomal RNA (490 nucleotides) under uncultured bacterium. RNAcentral's name for it is "partial 16S ribosomal RNA". It matches the Rfam family "Bacterial small subunit ribosomal RNA", at positions 29 to 507 of the family's 1533-position model. The record is from RNAcentral.